AUUGAACGCUGGCGGCAGGCCUAACACAUGCAAGUCGAGCGAGCGGCGGACGGGUGAGUAAUGUAUGGGGACUGCCCGAUAGAGGGGGAUAACUACUGGAAACGGUGGCUAAUACCGCAUACUGUCGGAUAACCCAUAGGGGAUUAGCUAGUAGGUAAGGUAAUGGCUUACCUAGGCGACGAUCCCUCGCUGGUCUGGGAGGAUGAUCCGCCAAAAUGGGAAUUGGAAACGGCCCAGACCCCUACGGGGGCAGCAGGGGGGAAACUUCCGCAAAGGAGGACAGUCUGACGGAGGAACGCCGGGUGGGUGAUGAAAGCCUUCGGGUUGUAAAGCUCUGUUAGGCGGGAGACGGUACCGGCAGAGAAAGCAACGGCUAACUACGUGCCAGCAGCCGCGGUAAUUC
Molecule: ribosomal RNA, 403 nt
Filed under: uncultured bacterium
Lineage: Bacteria
Description: partial 16S ribosomal RNA
Rfam family: Bacterial small subunit ribosomal RNA
Source: RNAcentral